UGAAUACGAGACGCUAAGGCGUCGAAGUAGUGUAUGUCAUACUUCCAAGAAAAGCUUGCACUGUCAUAGAUAAAAAACGCCUGUACCAUAACCGACACAGGUGGGUAGGUAGAGUAUACUAAGGGGCGCGAGAUAACUCUCUCUAAGGAACUCGGCAAAAUAACUCCGUAACUUCGGGAGAAGGAGUGCCUUAUUCGUAAGGUUGCAAUAACAAGAUCCAAGCAGCUGUUUAUCAAAAACACAGGUCUCCGCUAAGUCGUAAGACGAUGUAUGGGGGCUGACGCCUGCCCAGUGCCAGAAGGUUAAAGAAGUUGGUUAGCAAUUGCGAAGCUGAUAACUGAAGCCCUGGUGAACGGCGGCCGUAACGAUAACGGUCCUAAGGUAGCGAAAUUCCUUGUCGGGUAAGUUCCGACCCGCACGAAAGGCGUAAUGAUUUGGAUACUGUCUCGGAGAGGGGCUCGGUGAAAUAGACUUGUCUGUGAAGAUGCGGACUACCUGCACCAGGACAGAAAGACCCUAUGAAGCUUUACUGUAACUUGAAAUUGAAAUUGGACUUAUUCGCGCAGUAUAGGUGGGAGGCGUUGAUUAUAAUCUUGUGGGAUUAUUGGAGCCAUCAGUGAGAUACCACUCUUGUAAUGUUAGAUUUCUAACUUUGAAUCAUUAUCUGGUCAAAGAACAGUUUCAGGCGGGCAGUUUGACUGGGGCGGUCGCCUCCUAAACGGUAACGGAGGCGUACAAAGGUUUCCUCUGAACGGUUAGAAAUCGUAUCUAGAGUGUAAAGGCAUAAGGAAGCUUGACUGUGAGACCUACAAGUCGAGCAGGGACGAAAGUCGGUCUUAGUGAUCUGACGGUACUGAGUGGAAAGGCCGUCACUCAACGGAUAAAAGUUACUCUAGGAUAACAGGCUGAUCUCCCCCAAGAGUUCACAUCGACGGGGAGGUUUGGCACCUCGAUGUCGGCUCAUCGCAUCCUGGGGCGGUAGUACGUCCCAAGGGUUGGGCUGUUCGCCCAUGAAAGCGGUACGCGAGCUGGGUUCAGAACGUCGUGAGACAGUUCGGUCCAUAUCCGGUGUAGGCGUUAGAAUAUUGAGAGGAGCCUUCUUUAGUACGAGAGGACCGAGAGGGACAUACCUCUGGUGUACCAGUUAUCGUGCCAACGGUAAACGCUGGGUAGCUAUGUAUGGAGUGGAUAACCGCUGAAAGCAUCUAAGUGGGAAGCCCACCUCAAGAUAAGUAUUCUCACC
RNAcentral lists this ribosomal RNA (1243 nucleotides) under metagenome. Its description in RNAcentral is "bacterial LSU rRNA". It matches the Rfam family "Bacterial large subunit ribosomal RNA", at positions 1564 to 2818 of the family's 2925-position model. The record is from RNAcentral.